AAAAAAAUAUAAGCAAAAGAAGGGCAGACGGUGGAUGCCUUGGCUCUAAGAGGCGACGAAGGACGUGAUAAGCUGCGAAAAGCUGUGGGGAUCGGCAAAUACGAAAUGAUCCACAGAUAUCCGAAUGGGGCAACCCGGCAUGCGACAGCAUGUCACCUGUGAGAUAUUACAGGAGCGAACGUGGGGAACUGAAACAUCUCAUUACCCAUAGGAGAAGAAAACAAAAGUGAUUCCCUCAGUAGUGGCGAGCGAACGGGGAGGAGCCCAAACCGAUGCUGUUUCGGCAGUGUCGGGGUUGUAGGAUCUCGAAUAAAGCUUUACAACNAGGUAGUAGAAGAUUCUGGAAAGGAUCGCCAAAGCGGGUGACAGCCCCUUAUACGAAACUUUGAAGUUGGAGUGACGAGAGACCUGAGUAGCGCGGGACACGAGAAAUCCUGUGUGAAUCCGGGAGGCCCAUCUCCCAAGGCUAAAUACUCCUUAGAGACCGAUAGUGAACAAGUACUGUGAAGGAAAGGUGAAAAGAACCUCGAACAGAGGAGUGAAAUAGAUCCUGAACCCGUUUGCCUACAAGCGGUCGGAGCACUUUAAGGUGUGACGGCGUGCCUUUUGCAUAAUGAACCUACGAGUUACUUUACGCAGCGAGGAUAAGACUUAUAAGAGUUGUAUCCGUAGCGAAAGCGAGUUUUAAAUGGCGUACAGUUGCGUGAAGUAGACGCGAAACCAAGUGAUCUACCCUUGGCCAGGCUGAAGUUUGGGUAACACCACAUAGAGGGCCGAACCGGUUGACGUUGAAAAGUCUUCGGAUGAGCUGAGGGUAGGGGUGAAAGGCUAAUCAAACUUGGAGAUAGCUCGUACUCCCCGAAAUGCAUUUAGGUGCAGCCUUUGGGCGGAGCUGUAAGAGGUAGAGCGACUGAUUGGAUGCGAGGGCUUCGCCGCCUAUCAAGUCCAGACAAACUCCGAAUGCUUACAGGCUUACCAAGGAGUGAGGGCAUGGGUGCUAAGGUCCAUGUCCGAGAGGAGAAUAAUCCGGACCAUCGGCUAAGGUCCCGAAAUAACUGCUAAGUUGAAACAAACGCGGUCAUGAUGCGAAGACAGCUAGGAUGUUGGCUUGGAAGCAGCCAUUCAUUUAAAGAGUGCGUAACAGCUCACUAGUCGAGGAUCGUGGCAUGGAUAAUACUCGGGCAUAAGCAGUUUACCGAAGCCGUGGGAUCAGUAGUGAUCGGUAGGGGAGCAUUCCGGCGUGGUAGAAGAUCGAGGGACAACUUCGGUUGGACAUUCCGGAAGAGCAAAUGUAGGUAUAAGUAACGAUAAAGGGGGCGAGAACCCCCCUCGCCGAAAGACUAAGGUUUCCUGAUCAACGCUAAUCGGAUCAGGGUUAGUCGGGGCCUAAGAGGAACCCGGACAAGGGGCACUCGAUGGACGAACGGGUUAAUAUUCCCGUACUGAUAUAUUCCAGUGAUGAGGUGACGGAGAAGUGACAGUCCUGCCCGGAGACGGAAAACCGGGUUGAACGGCAAAGACGCAGAUCGAGGUAGGCAAAUCCGCCUCGAGAGUUGAAGCCGGAAAGAAUGGGAAGCCCUUCGGGGCGCCCCAAUAUGGAUGUAAUCAAGCUCCCAAGAAAACCCUCUAAGCGCUAUGACGAAUGUAUCACCCGUACCGUAAACCGACACAGGUGGUUGGGUUGAGUAUACUAAGGCGCUCGAGCGAUUCGCGGUUAAGGAACUAGGCAAAUUGGUCCUGUAACUUCGGGAAAAAGGACGCCGGUAUGGGGACAUACCGGUCGCAGAGAAUAGGCCCAGGCGACUGUUUAACAAAAACACAAGGCUAUGCGAAAAAGAAAUUUGAAGUAUAUAGUCUGACACCUGCCCGGUGCUGGAAGGUUAAGAGGAGAUGUCAUCGCAAGAGAAGCAUUGAAUUGAAGCCCCAGUAAACGGCGGCCGUAACUAUAACGGUCCUAAGGUAGCGAAAUUCCUUGUCGGGUAAGUUCCGACCUGCACGAAUGGUGUAACGAUCUGGGCACUGUCUCAAUCGCGAACUCGGUGAAAUUGUAGUAUCGGUGAAGAUGCCGAUUACCCGCAACGGGACGAAAAGACCCCGUGAACCUUUACUAUAGCUUUACAUUGUAUUUGGGUAAUGAAUGUGUAGGAUAGGCCGGAGACUGAGAGAUGGGUACGCCAGUAUUCAUGGAGUCGCUGUUGAAAUACGGCCCUUUUGUUAUUUGGAUACUAACUCUCAGGAGAGAGGACACUGUAUGGUGGGUAGUUUGACUGGGGUGGUCGCCUCCAAAAGCGUAACGGAGGCUUCUAAAGGUACCCUCAGGCCGAUUGGUAACCGGCCCGUGAGUGUAAUGGCAUAAGGGUGCUUGACUGGGAGACAAACAAGUCGCACAGGAAGGAAACUUGAGCAUAGUGAUCCGGUGGUUCCGUGUGGAAGGGCCAUCGCUCAAAGGAUAAAAGGUACUCCGGGGAUAACAGGCUGAUCGCUCCCAAGAGCUCAUAUCGACGGAGCGGUUUGGCACCUCGAUGUCGGCUCGUCACAUCCUGGGGCUGGAGAAGGUCCCAAGGGUUGGGCUGUUCGCCCAUUAAAGUGGCACGCGAGCUGGGUUCAGAACGUCGUGAGACAGUUCGGUCUCUAUCUGUUGUGGGCGCAGGAUAUUUGCGAGGAUCUGACACUAGUACGAGAGGACCGUGUUGGACGUACCACUGGUUCAUCAGUUGUAUCGCCAGGUGCAUAGCUGAGUAUCCACGUACGGGAAGAAUAAGUGCUGAAAGCAUCUAAGCACGAAGUCGACCUCAAGAUUAGAUAUCCNGUAC
RNAcentral lists this ribosomal RNA (2813 nucleotides) under Porphyromonas canoris. Its description in RNAcentral is "bacterial LSU rRNA". It matches the Rfam family "Bacterial large subunit ribosomal RNA". The record is from RNAcentral. Lineage: Bacteria; Pseudomonadati; Bacteroidota; Bacteroidia; Bacteroidales; Porphyromonadaceae.